CCUACGGGUGGCAGCAGUAGGGAAUCUUGCACAAUGGGCGAAAGCCUGAGGGAGCAACGCCGCGUGGGUGAAGAAGGCCUUCGGAUCGUAAAACCCUGUUGUUAGAGAAGAAAGUGCGUGAGAGUAACUGUUCACGUAUCGACGGUAUCUAACAAGAAAGCCACGGCUAACUCCGUGCCAGCAGCCGCGGGAAUACGUAGGUGGCAAGCGUUAUCCGGAUUGAUUGGGCGUAAAGGGAACGCAGGCGGUCUUUUAAGUCUGAUGUGAAAGCCUUCGGCUUAACCGGAGAAGUGCAUUGGAAACUGGUAGACUUGAGUGCAGAAGAGGGGAGUGGAACUCCAUGUGUAGCGGUGAAAUGCGUAGAUAUAUGGAAGAACACCGAUGGCGAAGGCAGCUCUCUGGUCUGUAACUGACGCUGAGGUUCGAAAGCGUGGGUAGCAAACAGGAUUAGAUACCCGAGUAGUC
Molecule: ribosomal RNA, 465 nt
Filed under: uncultured bacterium
Lineage: Bacteria
Description: partial 16S ribosomal RNA
Rfam family: Bacterial small subunit ribosomal RNA
Source: RNAcentral